AUUGAACGCUGGCGGCAUGCCUUACACAUGCAAGUCGAACGGCAGCGCGGGAGCAAUCCUGGUGGCGAGUGGCGAACGGGUGAGUAAAGUAUCGGAACGUGCCCAGUCGUGGGGGAUAACGUAGCGAAAGUUACGCUAAUACCGCAUACGAUCUAUGGAUGAAAGCGGGGGAUCGCAAGACCUCGCGCGAUUGGAGCGGCCGAUAUCAGAUUAGGUAGUUGGGUGGGUAAAGGCUCACCAAGCCGACGAUCUGUAGCUGGUCUGAGAGGACGACCAGCCAAACUGGGAAUGAGCCACGGCCCAGACUCCUACGGGAGGCAGCAGUGGGGAAUUUUGGACAAUGGGCGAAAGCCUGAUCCAGCCAUGCCGCGUGCAGGAUGAAGGCCUUCGGGUUGUAAACUGCUUUUGUACGGAACGAAAAGGUUUGGCCUAAUAAGCUGAGCUCAUGACGGUACCGUAAGAAUAAGCACCGGCUAACUACGUGCCAGCCGCCGCAGUAA
This 500-nucleotide ribosomal RNA is filed under the name uncultured bacterium. Its description in RNAcentral is "partial 16S ribosomal RNA". It matches the Rfam family "Bacterial small subunit ribosomal RNA", at positions 30 to 523 of the family's 1533-position model. The record is from RNAcentral.